RNAcentral lists this unclassified non-coding RNA (474 nucleotides) under air metagenome. RNAcentral's name for it is "partial contains small subunit ribosomal RNA, internal transcribed spacer 1, and 5.8S ribosomal RNA". The record is from RNAcentral.
AAGUCGUAACAAGGUACCUUCCACGGAAGCCUUGUCCGCCCCAGUCUGCCUCUGAGGCAGGCGACACUUGCCUGGAGCUGGAAACUUGCCUCUUGUCAGGGGCGAGCGAUCAGCUGCUGCGUGCCCGGCGCACGUAGUCCACAGAUCAAACGCAGGUGGCCCGUCGCGGGUUCAGAUAUGACCGUAGCAGUUCUGCGAAGAUCUGGUCGGCUAGUUCCGUAGGUGAACCUGCGGAAGGAUCAUUAAUGAGAGGGGGGCUUCGUGCUCCAGGGGGCUUCCCGCCCCCGAACCUUUCCACCCAAUGUGUAUUUACCUUUGUUGCUUUGGCGAGCCCCGGGGGAUUUCCUCGGCGCUGGCAUCCUCCUUGGGUGCUCGCGAGCGUUCGUCAGAGGCCCAUCUUAAACCUGUUUAUCAGUGCAGUCUGAGCUUAUGAAAAAUAAAACAAAACUUUCAACAACGGAUCUCUUGGUUCUG